This 809-nucleotide ribosomal RNA is filed under the name Bacillus sp. DSKP8. RNAcentral describes it as "bacterial SSU rRNA". It matches the Rfam family "Bacterial small subunit ribosomal RNA", at positions 79 to 872 of the family's 1533-position model. The record is from RNAcentral. Lineage: Bacteria; Bacillati; Bacillota; Bacilli; Caryophanales; Bacillaceae.
CUUGCUCCCGGAUGUUAGCGGCGGACGGGUGAGUAACACGUGGGUAACCUGCCUGUAAGACUGGGAUAACUCCGGGAAACCGGAGCUAAUACCGGAUAGUUCCUUGAACCGCAUGGUUCAAGGAUGAAAGACGGUUUCGGCUGUCACUUACAGAUGGACCCGCGGCGCAUUAGCUAGUUGGUGGGGUAAUGGCUCACCAAGGCGACGAUGCGUAGCCGACCUGAGAGGGUGAUCGGCCACACUGGGACUGAGACACGGCCCAGACUCCUACGGGAGGCAGCAGUAGGGAAUCUUCCGCAAUGGACGAAAGUCUGACGGAGCAACGCCGCGUGAGUGAUGAAGGUUUUCGGAUCGUAAAGCUCUGUUGUUAGGGAAGAACAAGUGCGAGAGUAACUGCUCGCACCUUGACGGUACCUAACCAGAAAGCCACGGCUAACUACGUGCCAGCAGCCGCGGUAAUACGUAGGUGGCAAGCGUUGUCCGGAAUUAUUGGGCGUAAAGGGCUCGCAGGCGGUUUCUUAAGUCUGAUGUGAAAGCCCCCGGCUCAACCGGGGAGGGUCAUUGGAAACUGGGAAACUUGAGUGCAGAAGAGGAGAGUGGAAUUCCACGUGUAGCGGUGAAAUGCGUAGAGAUGUGGAGGAACACCAGUGGCGAAGGCGACUCUCUGGUCUGUAACUGACGCUGAGGAGCGAAAGCGUGGGGAGCGAACAGGAUUAGAUACCCUGGUAGUCCACGCCGUAAACGAUGAGUGCUAAGUGUUAGGGGGUUUCCGCCCCUUAGUGCUGCAGCUAACGCAUUAAGCACUCCGC